AUUGAACGCUGGCGGAAUGCUUUACACAUGCAAGUCGAACGGCAGCACGGACUUCGGUCUGGUGGCGAGUGGCGAACGGGUGAGUAAUACAUCGGAACGUGCCCAGUCGUGGGGAUAACGUAGCGAAAGCUACGCUAAUACCGCAUACGAUCUAAGGAUGAAAGCGGGGGAUCGCAAGACCUCGCGCGAUUGGAGCGGCCGAUGGCAGAUUAGGUAGUUGGUGGGGUAAAGGCUCACCAAGCUGACGAUCUGUAGCUGGUCUGAGAGGACGACCAGCCACACUGGGACUGAGACACGGCCCAGACUCCUACGGGAGGCAGCAGUGGGAAAUUUUGGACAAUGGGCGCAAGCCUGAGCCAGCCAUUCCGCGUGCAGGAUGAAGGCCCUCGGGUUGUAAACUGCUUUUGUACGGAACGAAAAGGCUCUGGUUAAUACCCGGGGCUCAUGACGGUACCGUAAGAAUAAGCACCGGCUAACUACGUGCCAGCCGCCGCCGUAA
RNAcentral lists this ribosomal RNA (499 nucleotides) under uncultured bacterium. RNAcentral's name for it is "partial 16S ribosomal RNA". It matches the Rfam family "Bacterial small subunit ribosomal RNA", at positions 30 to 523 of the family's 1533-position model. The record is from RNAcentral.